This 497-nucleotide ribosomal RNA is filed under the name uncultured bacterium. RNAcentral's name for it is "partial 16S ribosomal RNA". It matches the Rfam family "Bacterial small subunit ribosomal RNA", at positions 28 to 507 of the family's 1533-position model. The record is from RNAcentral.
GAUGAACGCUGGCGGCGUGCCUAAUACAUGCAAGUCGAGCGAACAGACGAGGAGCUUGCUCCUCUGACGUUAGCGGCGGACGGGUGAGUAACACGUGGAUAACCUACCUAUAAGACUGGGAUAACUUCGGGAAACCGGAGCUAAUACCGGAUAACAUGUUGAACCGCAUGGUUCAACAGUGAUAGACGGUCUUGCUGUCACUUAUAGAUGGAUCCGCGCCGCAUUAGCUAGUUGGUAAGGUAACGGCUUACCAAGGCGACGAUGCGUAGCCGACCUGAGAGGGUGAUCGGCCACACUGGAACUGAGACACGGUCCAGACUCCUACGGGAGGCAGCAGUAGGGAAUCUUCCGCAAUGGGCGAAAGCCUGACGGAGCAACGCCGCGUGGGUGAAGAAGGUCUUCGGAUCGUAAAGCUCUGUUAUUAGGAAAGAACAACUGUGUAAGUAACUAUGCACGUCUUGACGGUACCUAAUGAGAAAGCCACGGCUAACUACGUG